AUGAAUGAUUGGUGGGCAGUAUAGUAUGAGCAGCUCUCUGUAAAAGGCUUUUAAGAGGGGCUUCUGCACCCUCUGCCAACUCCAUAUAUGCUUUCCCCAAGCAAUGUCUUUACCUCUUUCUUUCUCUCUUGCAAUCAAUGUCUCUCUCUCACACACCUACUCUCUUUCUCUCUCUCUCCCACACAAAUAUAUGUAUAAUAUGUAUCUAUACAUCUGUGCUUUGGUACUUGCUUUUUCAACUGCUAAUGCAUUGCUGCAGUACUGCCUCCAGCAACUUCUGACCACUACCAAACAAUUUCACAGUGUGCAUGAAUGACAAGGAAUCAAUCUAAUUACGAUUGAUUGUGCUUAGCUUCGGAUGAUACUGGAUCUAUUCAAGUAAUACUACAAGACAGGGAGAGAAGUAUUAUCGGGAAAAUAUUUUAUAUUGGGCAACAAAUAUAUGUAACAGAUUCAAGCCGGAGGAAACAGAACCAGAGGUGCAGCAGACAACAACUGAAAACACACAGACAACAUCAUCCACCAUUUAUCUUGUAGCACUUUCAGAUUUUAACCCUGAAACAUCAACCAUCACCAAAAAUUGAAAAUUCAAAAACAUUUCUGGAAUAUGAAACUUUUGUAAUCGCUUUGUUACUCAGUUGUUAUCUUUUGUCA
Daucus carota subsp. sativus is the source of this 654-nucleotide long non-coding RNA. RefSeq lists it as uncharacterized. The transcript has 2 exons. The record is from RefSeq and is a predicted model, not a curated record. Lineage: Eukaryota; Viridiplantae; Streptophyta; Magnoliopsida; Apiales; Apiaceae.